Long non-coding RNA from Cololabis saira (Pacific saury), 802 nucleotides. RefSeq lists it as uncharacterized. The transcript is spliced from 3 exons. The record is from RefSeq and is a predicted model, not a curated record. NCBI's taxonomy places the organism in Eukaryota, Metazoa, Chordata, Actinopteri, Beloniformes, Belonidae.
GGUGAAAGAAGUUUACUGUGAAAUACGGCCAUUUCUGAGCUGUAAUCGGGAGUUUACUGACCCCACUUUUUACUGUUACAGUCCUGACAGACCAAUCACAGCGCAUGUUAUUGCGGGGGCGUGGCUAAGAAUUGAUUCAGCAAUGUGAUUGGUUCCUGUCUCACAGCGUUGAGAGUUGCGGGGGUCUUUAAAGUUUGUCCUAGUCAGUUACUGUUUGUUUUGCUCCCGCCCGGUAGAACUUUUUUUGCUUUUGAGGAGAUACUGCUGCGUUGUUGUAAAACAUGUCGCAUAAACGGUCCUUGUGCUUUUAUCCAAAUCAACCUGAAGCAGAUGUUACUCCGACCAGACCUGCAGUAGAGCGACAAGGACGGUCAACUCCAUCUUCUUCCCCAUGAGAAAGUCCCGGUUCAGGUGUAUCUGUUGUUGUUAAUGCUUUAAAUUCUUUGUCGCGACAAAUAUCGAAAUUCGAAGAAAAAGUAGACAGCAGAUUUGAAAAGAUAGAGCGCAGACUACAGGACAUCGACGGCAGAUUUGAGCUACUGGACGAGGAAGUGAAGAACUUAAGCUCUGAUCGUGUUGAAACUUUCAGCUCCGAUUCCACACCCGCAAAACGGAUUAAAAGAGCAAAGAACACACGUGUUGCUGUAAGAGGCUGUAAGACGUUUACACAAUUCUGAAAACAACGCUAUGAAGCUGGAUCCAAAACAAAGUAUCAAUUCUCCACAUAACCUUGCAGUUACGACAUACAUGUUGGAGCAGGUCGGCAUUGCUUUUCCUGACACAGACAGCGACGUGAUAACAG